GGAUCUAGAUGGGACGUGUGUCGAAGCUUCCCUUGUUAACGCCUAAGGCAGCCUUGAUAAGUGGAGAAGGAGAUCACGUUCUCAGCCUUGGAAAGGAGGCAGCUCAAUACUCAAUUUUCUUUGAGUAACAAAUACAAAUAUUGUCCACGGCUCCACUUAAUUUGAUAAUGAAAAUGGGGAUAGCCCUACUAACCCAAUUCGGCAAAUGAUGAUUUAUGGUCGUAGAAGAAGUGAACACGGAUUCCACUUAAUUUACGGAUGGAAAGUGGGGACAAUCCCACUUUCGGUAAAUGAUGAUUAAAUGGUCGUAGAAGAAGUGGACAUGGAUGCCAUUUAAUUUGUGAAUGGAAAGUGGGGACAAUCCCACUUCCACAAUUUUGGAAGUAGAAGUCCCAAAGUGGACGUCGGUAGGGUGGUGAUCUCAAUUCCACUAAUUUGAUGAAGGUGCACCAACCACGUAACAAUUCAUUUGGGGACCGAAAUGAUGGAAAUGAAGCCCGAUCCCCACUUUCACAAUUCAGCAAAAUUAAAGAACAACCACUUUGAAAUGGAAAAUGGGACAAAAAUAAUUAAUGAAGAUGGACUUAAUUUCCAAACAAGAAUGUAGAAUAAAAGGGGUGAUGGUGUUUAGUAUCAAGAUCGGCACAAAUAAGAAAUAUAGGGAGGCGGCGUCGAAGACAAGGGAGGAGUCCAAAGCUCUCUCAAAUCCCUUAUUUUUUUUAUUUCAACGUGUGGCCAACAAAACUAAUAUCCCAUAUAUAUUUGGGAACCCUAAACCUAGAUUUCUAAUAAAGGGAAACAAGGUAAAUAAAUACAAGCAAAUAAAAAUAAAAACAAAUAGCAAUAUAAACCCAAAGAUGAAACUUUAAGUUUUAGGAAGUCUCUUUACGCCAAGUAGACAAUGAUAAAAUCUUGAAGGUGGGUGUGGAAAUUGAGGACGCUUCAUUCCUUGCAAAGGCCUUAGCGACAAUGCUCGAAGUGGCUUGAGCAAUAGCUUUGGCUCAAGCCCUCGUGAUAGGUCCGUUUGAGCGAACUCUCAACAUGUCUUCCUCUUGAGCCUCCGUCAAUGUCAAUGGUGGAACUGCAUCACCUAACAUCCUAAGAAUAGUCCAUUAUCAUUGCCUAAACAAUCAAGGGAUAGAACCACAGGUACCUACCCCACACUCGAGUAUAACACUGCCUAUAGUGUUAGAAAAAUAAAAUCGGGUAUAGUACAUAACUAGUACAUCAGAAAAAUGAAGAUCAUAUUAAAUCUAUAUAUCAAGAAGGCAAAGUAAAGUGUUCCACUAAAAUAACAUAACAUGAAAGCAAAAUGAAAGACAAUAAAAUAAAAUGAAAAUGCAAUAAGAAACGAAAAUAAAGUAAAAUAAAAAUAAAAAUAAAGAAAGAAAAUAAAAAGGAAAAGGAAAAAAAAUUGAGCAUAAAUUUUUAUCAUUGCUGGUAGUCUGCCGAAGGCGCAUCCUCACUAGCUAGAUCGACUGGAGGGUGAGUAGGGGAAGGUGCUGAAAGAGGGGGCGGUGGUGGUGGCACAAGGUCCGUGAAGCAACCUGCUAGAUCGAACUCCAUAUCAUCGAUGAAUCAUUGAUUUUAUGCUCCGGUCUCCAUCAUCUUUUGUAUCUGCUCUGCCAUGAAUCGCUGAUUUUGUGCUCCGAUCUCCAUCAUCUUUUGUAUCUGCUCUGCCAUUAGGUCUAGCUGGAUCGGCUGGAGGGUGAGUAGGGGAAGGUGCUGAAGGAAUGGGCGAUGGUGGUGGCACAGGGUCCGUGAAGCAACCUGCUAGAUCGAACUCCAUAUAAUCGAUGAAUCGUUGAUUUUGUGCUCCAAUCUCCAUCAUCUUUUGUAUCUGCUCUGCCAUUAGGUCUGUCUAGGUGGCCUGCCUAUCCAGCCCAUGCAUAAGCUGCUGGAGCAUAUCGUUUAAACCCUGAAAUUGUACCCUAGUCUCCUCUUGAAACUGCCCAAACUCCUUUCUGUGCUGCACAAACUCAGUAUAGUGUUGCUGCUAUAAAUC
RNAcentral lists this long non-coding RNA (2005 nucleotides) under Ricinus communis (castor bean). Its description in RNAcentral is "long non-coding RNA (RCOM_LNC000446)". The record is from RNAcentral. Lineage: Eukaryota; Viridiplantae; Streptophyta; Magnoliopsida; Malpighiales; Euphorbiaceae.